UACACUCCUGCGGGAGGCAGCAGUGGGGAAUUUUGGACAAUGGGCGAAAGCCUGAUCCAGCAAUGCCGCGUGUGUGAAGAAGGCCUUCGGGUUGUAAAGCACUUUUGUCCGGAAAGAAAUCCUUGGCUCUAAUACAGUCGGGGGAUGACGGUACCGGAAGAAUAAGCACCGGCUAACUACGUGCCAGCAGCCGCGGUAAUACGUAGGGUGCGAGCGUUAAUCGGAAUUACUGGGCGUAAAGCGUGCGCAGGCGGUUUGCUAAGACCGAUGUGAAAUCCCCGGGCUCAACCUGGGAACUGCAUUGGUGACUGGCAGGCUAGAGUAUGGCAGAGGGGGGUAGAAUUCCACGUGUAGCAGUGAAAUGCGUAGAGAUGUGGAGGAAUACCGAUGGCGAAGGCAGCCCCCUGGGCCAAUACUGACGCUCAUGCACGAAAGCGUGGGGAGCAAACAGGAUUAGAAACCCUUGUAGUCCC
RNAcentral lists this ribosomal RNA (473 nucleotides) under uncultured organism. Its description in RNAcentral is "partial 16S ribosomal RNA". It matches the Rfam family "Bacterial small subunit ribosomal RNA", at positions 332 to 797 of the family's 1533-position model. The record is from RNAcentral.